Molecule: small RNA, 546 nt
Filed under: Tannerella forsythia KS16
Lineage: Bacteria; Pseudomonadati; Bacteroidota; Bacteroidia; Bacteroidales; Tannerellaceae
Description: Acido-Lenti-1 RNA
Source: RNAcentral
UCGGCCUCAAACCGGCAUCGGGGGGGGGGCGGGGCGUCUGAAAAAACAUCCCGCGUCUCUCACGGCAGGCAACCUCCUUAAACCCGGAUUACGCGAUAUAAGAAUGAAUUUAAUUCAGGCCUUCAGCCCUCCGAACAAGGUCCGGAUGUCGAUACCCCACCCUUGCGGGAUGGAGCUGAAAUAAUUCGGGCUUUCAGCCCUUUCGGGUAAUGGUUAUGCGUGUUACACGCCGAAUCAUGUACCCGGCAUGACAAUUAACCAUUAAUAAACAGCCCUGAAAGGGCGAGAUAAUUCAGCCCAAUGCGGAGCGUUGGGGAAAAAAGCAAUAUCCCCGUUGGGAGGGCUGUAAGCCUGACGUAACCAUUGUCAUACAUUUGCACAUCCAUUAUUAAUAGUAAACACCAAACAGGGGAUCGCAUAAUUUGGGUUAAGCAUGGGUCAUGCAUCACUCUCUACAUACAAAAAAAUGUUAUAUAGCAUAUUGCACUACGGGAGACAUUAAAAAAAUUUACCCUAUCUUUGUAGCCUUAGCACACUAAAAAGAGA